ACCUUGGCUCUAGACUGCUUACUGCUUAAAACUCAUUGUAACAGUCUACAGUCAUGGCU
This is a microRNA precursor of Oncorhynchus kisutch (coho salmon), 59 nucleotides long. The record is from Ensembl. NCBI's taxonomy places the organism in Eukaryota, Metazoa, Chordata, Actinopteri, Salmoniformes, Salmonidae.